Molecule: ribosomal RNA, 549 nt
Filed under: uncultured eukaryote
Lineage: Eukaryota
Description: partial 18S ribosomal RNA
Rfam family: Eukaryotic small subunit ribosomal RNA
Source: RNAcentral
CGUAAAUUAUUCAAUGGGAAUAUCUUCCCGAAAUAGUGACAAAAAAUACUAAUGUAUUAAACUUUGUUUAGUACAAUUGGAAUGGAAACAAUCCAAAACCCUUAUUGAGUAACAAUUAGAGGGCAAGUCUGGUGCCAGCAGCCGCGGUAAUUCCAGCUCUAAUAGCGUAUAUUAAUACUGUUGCAGUUAAAACGCUCGUAGUUGAACUCAGAAUUAUUACAAGUUAUUUUACUUGAUUGUAAAGUGCUUGCUUAAUUCUUAUCUACUAGAUACUCUAUUCUGUACUUAAUUGUAUGGGAUAUCACCUAGCCAGUGGAACUUUGGUUGAAUAAUGCCUUUUUUAAUACCAGAGUGUAAAAACUUGAAGUGUUAAUUUGGGAUCACAUUAUUUUAUUGAAGUGGGGUUCUAGUUAAUUUACUUUGAGUAAAUUAGAGUGUUCAAAGCAGCCUCUUGGGGCUUUGAAUAGAUUUAGCAUGGGAUAAUAGAAUAGGAUUUGAUAAUCUAUUUUGUUGGUUUGAAUUAAUCAAAUAAUGAUUAAUAGGGACAGA